GGUACCGGCAAACCAGGGGAAUGUGUUACGAAUCCUUCAAAUAAAUUGACCUUAGUAAAAUCAGGAUUUCCAACCUUAGGAGUUGCUGUAGGUGUACCGGUUGGUAUAAUUGGUAUGAUCUGCAUUAUCGUUGCCGUCGUGCUCAUCAGACGAAGAUGUAUACGUGAGAAUUCGGAUAAAAAAUUCGCAAACUUCAUGAAUAACACAACAGAUGAAAACUAUUUAGGUCAGCAAGAUAUAGCACUCCCUCAGUAUCCAACCAACAACAAGGUACUGUAUAGCCAGGUUCCGAACCGCAACACAGACUCGAUAAAGACCGAAGACGGCCAAGAUUAUAGUCACCCAUCCAAAGACACAGAAUCCCCGUAUGCCCUAUCUGAGGAAGGAGUAUAUGACAAGACAAAUGAAAGAAGGCAUGUUGUUAACGAAACAGACAUGUAUAGCCGUACUGUCGAUACCGUGUAUGAUUCUGCUGAACAACACAUGAAACAAGAUAGAAAAGAGGAGACCUAUGAUCAUGUGUUCGGUCAGAAAACGGAGGAUUAUUACGACCAAACAACAAGAACAUAAAUUGAAAUACUAAGCACUGCACUGUUUUAAGAAUCUUUUCCGCCAAUCAUUCAAUCAACGAAGCAUUCAGACUCUCAUUUCAAUCUUGAAUUAGAGUUUCUAGAAGAAAGCUAUUUGAUUUUUUUUUAAGUUUUUGACAAGUGUUCUGGAAUUAUUUGUUAGCCUGCAGGAUUCCGGGAACUUCUCUAAAGUUUUGUGAGGAUGGAUGCACUCUCUUGAAAUAUAAGUUCCAUGUGACUCAGUUUGGUGGCUAUUCAUUAAUGUGUUAUUUAGGGGUUAUCUGUUGGUUAUAUUAUUGACAACAUAUUUGCUGAAUUUGGAGGUGGACUUUUUCAACAAAUUGUCGGCAGUCCUAUGGGUACGAACUGUGCGCCUCUCCUUGCCAACCUCUUCUUAUUUUCUGAGUACGAGUUCCGUCAGACACUUGUCAAAAGCAAGAAGAUUAAAGAAGAAGCCACAUCAUUUAAUUUCACAUUCAGAUAAAUUGAUGAUGUUCUUUUCAUUAUCAAUCCAAACUUUUCUGAUUGGGUUCCAUUAAUAUAUCCUUCAGACCUAGAAAUUAAAUAAACAACAACCACGGCUUCCUCUGUCUCAUUUGUAGACUUAUACCUCGAAUUUGACAUAAGCAGUCAUCUCAGUACCAGAAUCUAUGACAAACGAUUUUUAUUUUAAAUUACUAAUUUCCCCGACCUUAGUAGCAAUAUAACAACUUCACCUGCAUAUGGGAUAUACAUUUCCCAACUCAUUCGGUAUUCAAGAGCUUGCAGCUGCUACUCAGACUUUAUAAAACGUCACCAGUGUCUGAGCAGAAUGUACCAGGAUUAUGUAAAAGAACGUCUAGUCCUUUUUCUAAAAACAGUUCAUCAGAAGAUACUUAGACCUUGUUGAGAAAUAUUCAGUAUCAACUUCACAAACAAUACAUGAUGGUCUUGAAGUUUAGAUUCUAGGUACUGACGAUAUUUAUCAUCUUAAUUACAUGUAUUAGUGUUCUUUUAUUUGUCUUUGCAAAUUAUUACCUUUACUGUCCAUUUUUGGUAAUAUCCCUUUGGCGUGUCUCGGUACUUAUACAUCCCGGCAUUGUGUUAUCGUACUAUGGUAAAUUUUUGUAUUGUUGACUUUCAUUUUUGCUUAUGUGUUUUUUGUAUAUGUCUUUUUGUUUUACUUUGUUGACACAUUUGUUUGUUUUUAUAGUGAUUAAGAUUAUAACACAAUGUUGACUGCUGUACCCCUAUUUUUUAUAUUUUUACCUAUUAACCAGGUUUAAUCUACCAUUUUCUACAUAAGGAAAUACCUGUACCAAGUCAGGAAUAUGACAGUUGUUUUCCAUUCGUUUGAUGUGUUUGAGCUUUUGAUUUUGGCAUUUGAUAAGGGACUUUCCGAUUUGAAUUGUUCUUGGAGUUCUGUAUUUUUGUUAUUUUACUUUUUUUUUGUAGUGCCAGCUUUUCACUCGAUUUACUUGCUGUCAAUGCUUUAGAUAAUGGUAACAAAUGUUUAUUAUCAUUCUCAAUUUGAAAAUAUGCCAUUGAACUGGUACCUGUAUGUCAUUUGGUGACGUAAAGAUUUUUUUUUCAAACAUUA
Molecule: long non-coding RNA, 2148 nt
Organism: Mytilus californianus (California mussel)
Lineage: Eukaryota; Metazoa; Mollusca; Bivalvia; Mytilida; Mytilidae
Exons: 3
Source: RefSeq, a predicted model, not a curated record